Molecule: ribosomal RNA, 372 nt
Filed under: uncultured organism
Description: bacterial SSU rRNA
Rfam family: Bacterial small subunit ribosomal RNA
Source: RNAcentral
CGUAGGGAGCAAGCGUUGUCCGGAAUCAUUGGGCGUAAAGCGCGCGUAGGCGGCCUCAUAAGUCCGUUGUGAAAGUCAAAGGCUCAACCUUUGAAAGCCGAUGGAUACUGUGAGGCUAGAGUCCGGAAGAGGCGAGUGGAAUUCCUGGUGUAGCGGUGGAAUGCGCAGAUAUCAGGAGGAACACCAAUAGCGAAGGCAGCUCGCUGGGACGGUACUGACGCUAAGGCGCGAAAGCGUGGGGAGCGAACAGGAUUAGAUACCCUGGUAGUCCACGCCGUAAACGAUGGGCACUAGGUGUGGGAGGUGUCGACUCCUCCCGUGCCGUCGCUAACGCACUAAGUGCCCCGCCUGGGGAGUACGGCCGCAAGGCUA